UACGGGGGGGGGGGCAAGCGUUGUUCGGAAUUACUGGGCGUAAAGGGCCAGUAGGCGGCCAACUAAGUCCGACGUGAAAUCCCAAGGCUUAACCUUGGAACUGCGUCGGAUACUGGAUGGCUUGAAUUCGGGAGAGGGAUGCAGAAUUCCAGGUGUAGCGGUGAAAUGCGCAGAUAUCAGGAGGAACACCGGUGGCGAAGGCGGGUCUCUGGGCCGAUACUGACGCUGGAGGAGCGAAAGCGUGGGGAGCAAACAGG
RNAcentral lists this ribosomal RNA (257 nucleotides) under uncultured bacterium. RNAcentral describes it as "partial 16S ribosomal RNA". It matches the Rfam family "Bacterial small subunit ribosomal RNA", at positions 521 to 776 of the family's 1533-position model. The record is from RNAcentral.